CUCGGAACUGCAUUCAGCCGCGUCUGCCAUACAGGGUCAUUCUCACGGUAGACUCGGGGUAUGCCUCGCUGUCAGGUGCGUCCACUGUACAGUUCCAUAUGCCAACGAUGUGCGUACCAAACUAAUUGCCCCAAGACAAUCUUUCAUAGAGCCACGGAGAUUUCUGCCCUGACCAGAGCUGCGGGAAUUACAGAUAGAAGGGGCCAAGGCCACCACUCGAGUCCCCUUCUUGAAAGAGAACUGUACUUUAUUGGUUUCCUUUGGGAAGACGAUUUCAUCUAUGAUACUGGAGAUAAGAGAUGAAAGUGAGAUGUGGUGCAAUUACAUUUAUCAGUGAGGUAAUCAACCUGGCCUAUAACUAAGGUGAGUAACUAGUUAGAUUAAUGGAAAAAAAACUAUUAAAUUUGUAUGCCAUGUGCUUAUGUACAGUGGGUUUUAUUUUAUUAUUUUAAGACAUAAUUUAGUCUCAUACCUCAAAAACUCCACACUCACAUGAAAGUGUUUUUUAAAAAAGUAACCAAGCUUCCAAAGAGCCUCAUUAGCAGUACUGGCAUUAAGGAGUACGUGAAAUAUUUUAAGGUUAUUCAUUAUUUUUACAUCAUUUUAUUCUAUUGAAUUUUCCGUGAAGGUAACAAAAAUUUCUUUCUAUUUUCAAAUUUUAGGUAAUAAAACAACAUUUGCAUUAAAUAAGAAUUUGACUUGAAUACUGAAUCUGUGCCUAUAACUAAAUAGAUUACAGUCAGGUUGUAAAUCUAUCAGUAAGUUAAAUCAAUAAGAACCAUGAAAUUACUGGAUUUAUGGUGGUAACUAAUUUAUAAUGGUACACAGGUGAAUUGUUG
RNAcentral lists this long non-coding RNA (839 nucleotides) under Macaca mulatta (Rhesus monkey). Its description in RNAcentral is "lncRNA (ENSMMUG00000039964.2)". Lineage: Eukaryota; Metazoa; Chordata; Mammalia; Primates; Cercopithecidae. The record is from RNAcentral.